GGGGAUAACGUUUGGAAACGAACGCUAAUACCGCAUGAUAUUAUUGAGCUGCAUGGCUUGAUAAUCAAAGGAGCAAUCCGCUGAAAGAUGGGCUCGCGUCCGAUUAGGUAGUUGGCGGGGCAACGGCCCACCAAGCCGACGAUCGGUAGCCGGACUGAGAGGUUGAACGGCCACAUUGGGACUGAGACACGGCCCAGACUCCUACGGGAGGCAGCAGUGAGGGAUAUUGGUCAAUGGGGGAAACCCUGAACCAGCAACGCCGCGUGAGGGAAGACGGUUUUCGGAUUGUAAACCUCUGUCCUCUGUGAAAAUGAUGACGGUAGCAGAGGAGGAAGCUCCGGCUAACUACGUGCCAGCAGCCGCGGUAAUACGUAGGGAGCAAGCGUUGUCCGGAUUUACUGGGUGUAAAGGGUGCGUAGGCGGCUUUGCAAGUCAGAAGUGAAAUCCAUGGGCUUAACCCAUGAACUGCUUUUGAAACUGCAGAGCUUGAGUGGAGUAGAGGUAGGCGGAAUUCCCGGUGUAGCGGUGAAAUGCGUAGAGAUCGGGAGGAACACCAGUGGCGAAGGCGGCCUGCUGGGCUCUAACUGACGCUGAGGCACGAAAGCGUGGGUAGCAAACAGGAUUAGAUACCCUGGUAGUCCACGCUGUAAACGAUGAUUACUAGGUGUGGGUGGACUGACCCCAUCCGUGCCGGAG
Molecule: ribosomal RNA, 696 nt
Filed under: uncultured bacterium
Lineage: Bacteria
Description: bacterial SSU rRNA
Rfam family: Bacterial small subunit ribosomal RNA
Source: RNAcentral